CCUACGGGUGGCUGCAGUGGGGAAUAUUGCACAAUGGGCGCAAGCCUGAUGCAGCCAUGCCGCGUGUGUGAAGAAGGCCUUCGGGUUGUAAAGCACUUUCAGCGGGGAGGAAGGCGGUGAGGUUAAUAACCUCAUCGAUUGACGUUACCCGCAGAAGAAGCACCGGCUAACUCCGUGCCAGCAGCCGCGGUAAUACGGAGGGCGCAAGCGUUAAUCGGAAUUACUGGGCGUAAAGCGCACGCAGGCGGUCUGUCAAGUCGGAUGUGAAAUCCCCGGGCUCAACCUGGGAACUGCAUUCGAAACUGGCAGGCUAGAGUCUUGUAGAGGGGGGUAGAAUUCCAGGUGUAGCGGUGAAAUGCGUAGAGAUCUGGAGGAAUACCGGUGGCGAAGGCGGCCCCCUGGACAAAGACUGGCGCUCAGGUGCGAAAGCGUGGGGAGCAAACAGGAUUAGAUACCCGGGUAGUC
Molecule: ribosomal RNA, 465 nt
Filed under: uncultured Klebsiella sp.
Lineage: Bacteria; Pseudomonadati; Pseudomonadota; Gammaproteobacteria; Enterobacterales; Enterobacteriaceae
Description: bacterial SSU rRNA
Rfam family: Bacterial small subunit ribosomal RNA
Source: RNAcentral